GGUCGAUCACAGUGUUUUUCCAUGUCAAGAAUAUAAUCAGGGUCUCUAUCAGAUCUCAACAACCUGGAAUAGCUGCCACAUCCCUAACUAUGCCUUUUAUAAUCAGGCUGCAUGAACAUAAACCAUGAGAAGAGAAUUCGUUUUGUUGAUACUCUAGCCAUCUAGAAUCUGCAAUACAACAUCAGAUUGGGCAGACCUACACGCAAGGGUGCGAAGAAAGAGAGAGAGACAGCGAGAGUACCAGAUAAGCCAAGGGAAUUUUCUCGCUUAGAUCAUUCCUCGACUAAGCCCACAGAGAAAGGAGGGAGCGACAUUAGAAUCGAAAGAAGAAGGCGUUCGAGAUCGGAGGAGAAGUCCCACCAGAGAGACGCGUCUACGGUUUCCGGUCCGGCGACCUGGUUGAUUGCUGCUGCGACGGUCGCCAUCCCGGGAGAAAACCCUAAUCCCGCCGGAGAUUGCCGAGUGGUAAAAUAGAGGCCAGAAGAAGGAGAGCUAGGCCUAGAGCACGGUUUUACUGACGAAGAGGGGUCGCCAGUGUGUCAUGUGGACUCAACAUCGGUUCAGCCCACCCUUCUACU
This is a long non-coding RNA of Nymphaea colorata (pocket water lily), 578 nucleotides long. RefSeq lists it as uncharacterized. The transcript has 3 exons. Lineage: Eukaryota; Viridiplantae; Streptophyta; Magnoliopsida; Nymphaeales; Nymphaeaceae. The record is from RefSeq and is a predicted model, not a curated record.